Molecule: unclassified non-coding RNA, 248 nt
Filed under: Hevea brasiliensis (rubber tree)
Lineage: Eukaryota; Viridiplantae; Streptophyta; Magnoliopsida; Malpighiales; Euphorbiaceae
Source: RNAcentral
GAAACAACUCCAAGACAUGUAUUUGAGUAGGAAGUCCUUUGCUUUUGAUUGUGAUGCUCCUGGAGCUGGCAUGAUGGAGAAGAGAAAAGUUUUUGAGAUGGCGCUGAGCACAGCUGAUGCCACAUUCCAAAACCUUGACUCGUCCGAGAUCUCGCUGACCGAUGUCAGCCAUUACUUUGAUUCUGAUCCAACUAAUUUGGUUCAAGGUUUGAGAAAAGAUGGCAAGAAGCCUAAUGCCUACAUUGCCG